Molecule: ribosomal RNA, 253 nt
Filed under: Roseburia faecis M72/1
Lineage: Bacteria; Bacillati; Bacillota; Clostridia; Lachnospirales; Lachnospiraceae
Description: partial 16S ribosomal RNA
Rfam family: Bacterial small subunit ribosomal RNA
Source: RNAcentral
UACGUAUGGUGCAAGCGUUAUCCGGAUUUACUGGGUGUAAAGGGAGCGCAGGCGGUGCGGCAAGUCUGAUGUGAAAGCCCGGGGCUCAACCCCGGUACUGCAUUGGAAACUGUCGUGCUAGAGUGUCGGAGGGGUAAGUGGAAUUCCUAGUGUAGCGGUGAAAUGCGUAGAUAUUAGGAGGAACACCAGUGGCGAAGGCGGCUUACUGGACGAUAACUGACGCUGAGGCUCGAAAGCGUGGGGAGCAAACAGG